RNAcentral lists this ribosomal RNA (482 nucleotides) under uncultured bacterium. RNAcentral describes it as "partial 16S ribosomal RNA". It matches the Rfam family "Bacterial small subunit ribosomal RNA", at positions 30 to 507 of the family's 1533-position model. The record is from RNAcentral.
AUUGAACGCUGGCGGCAUGCCUUACACAUGCAAGUCGAACGGUAACGGGCCUUCGGGUGCCGACGAGUGGCGAACGGGUGAGUAAUACAUCGGAACGUGCCCGAUCGUGGGGGAUAACGAGGCGAAAGCUUUGCUAAUACCGCAUACGAUCUACGGAUGAAAGCAGGGGACCGCAAGGCCUUGCGCGGACGGAGCGGCCGAUGGCAGAUUAGGUAGUUGGUGGGAUAAAAGCUUACCAAGCCGACGAUCUGUAGCUGGUCUGAGAGGAUGAUCAGCCACACUGGGACUGAGACACGGCCCAGACUCCGACGGGAGGCAGCAGUGGGGAAUUUUGGACAAAGGGCGCAAGCCUGAUCCAGCCAUGCCGCGUGCAGGAUGAAGGCCUUCGGGUUGUAAACUGCUUUUGUACGGAACGAAAAGCCUUCUUUUAAUACAGGAGGGUCAUGACGGUACCGUAAGAAUAAGCACCGGCUAACUACGUG